GUAUGAAGUUGGAAUCGCUAGUAAUCGCGGAUCAGCAUGCCGCGGUGAAUACGUUCCCGGGCCUUGUACACACCGCCCGUCACACCAUGAGAGUCGGGAACACCCGAAGUCCGUAGCCUAACCGCAAGGGGGGCGCGGCCGAAGGUGGGUUCGAUAAUUGGGGUGAAGUCGUAACAAGGUACC
This 183-nucleotide ribosomal RNA is filed under the name uncultured bacterium. RNAcentral's name for it is "partial 16S ribosomal RNA". It matches the Rfam family "Bacterial small subunit ribosomal RNA", at positions 1318 to 1500 of the family's 1533-position model. The record is from RNAcentral.